RNAcentral lists this unclassified non-coding RNA (233 nucleotides) under uncultured fungus. RNAcentral's name for it is "sequence contains ITS1". Lineage: Eukaryota; Fungi. The record is from RNAcentral.
GUAUUGUAUUGCGUUAAACGCGUCAUGCAUUCCAUAAGACUUUGUUACAGAGUGUGUGUAAAGAAUGUAGGACCACAACAGGAGGACAGAGUCCCCCACGCCAUAGAACUACAGAGGGUGCACAGGUGUGGGUGGAUGUGUAAACGGAGCGUGCACAUGCCCCCAUUUGAGGACCAGCAACAACUCGUGUUAACAAUUCGGUAAUGAUCCUUCCGCAGGUUCACCUACGGAAA